RNAcentral lists this ribosomal RNA (253 nucleotides) under uncultured bacterium. RNAcentral describes it as "partial 16S ribosomal RNA". It matches the Rfam family "Bacterial small subunit ribosomal RNA", at positions 524 to 776 of the family's 1533-position model. The record is from RNAcentral.
UACAGAGGUCUCAAGCGUUGUUCGGAUUCAUUGGGCGUAAAGUGUGCGCAGGCGGCCGCGCAAGUCGAGUGUGAAAUCCCCGAGCUUAACUUGGGAAUUGCGCUCGAAACUACGUGGCUGGAGUGUGGCAGAGGAAGGUGGAAUUCCACGUGUAGAGGUGAAAUUCGUAGAUAUUGGGAAGAACACCGGUGGCGAAGGCGGCUCACUGGCUCAUAUCUGACGCUCAGGCGCGACAGCGUGGGGAUCAAACAGG